AGUGAACGCUGGCGGCAGGCCUAAUACAUGCAAGUCGAACGGCAGCACAGCAGAGCUUGCUCUGUGGGUGGCGAGUGGCGGACGGGUGAGGAAUACGUGGGAAUCUGCCCAGUCGUGGGGGAUAACGUAGGGAAACUUACGCUAAUACCGCAUGCGCCCUUCGGGGAAAGCCGGGGACCUUCGGGCCUGGCGCGAUUGGAUAAGCCCACGUCGGAUUAGCUAGUUGGCGGGGUAAAGGCCCACCAAGGCGACGAUCCGUAGCUGGUCUGAGAGGAUGAUCAGCCACACUGGAACUGAGACACGGUCCAGACUCCUACGGGAGGCAGCAGUAGGGAAUAUUGGACAAUGGGCGCAAGCCUGAUCCAGCCAUGCCGCGUGAGUGAAGAAAGCCCUCGGGUUGUAAAGCUCUUUGUCCGGAAAGAAAGCGCCGGGUUAAUACCCUGGUGUCCUGACGGUACCGGAAGAAUAAGCACCGGCUAACUUCGUGCCAGCAGCCGCGGUAA
RNAcentral lists this ribosomal RNA (503 nucleotides) under uncultured bacterium. RNAcentral's name for it is "bacterial SSU rRNA". It matches the Rfam family "Bacterial small subunit ribosomal RNA", at positions 29 to 523 of the family's 1533-position model. The record is from RNAcentral.